RNAcentral lists this transfer RNA (64 nucleotides) under Petropedetes sp. MVZ 234827. RNAcentral describes it as "tRNA-Cys". The record is from RNAcentral. Lineage: Eukaryota; Metazoa; Chordata; Amphibia; Anura; Petropedetidae.
AGUCCUGGGGUGUAACAUGUGUGGGUGCAAACCAUAAGAAGCAGAUUAACAUCUGCCGGGACUU